AGGAAAACUCCGUUCUAUUCCAGAAGCUGCUAUGAGCUAGCGGCUAUGAACUUGUGGCCCAACCACAGGGAAUCAGGAACUUGUGAGUUACAGCCCAGACUCAACUGAUCCUCGCUGACUGACCUCAGGCAAGUUACUUAACAUUUGCCUGUCCCUUAUUUUCCAGCUGUAAAAUGGCAAAAAAUAUUUCCUCAUUCAAGUUAAGCAGACAUCCAUCUGAAAACAGUUACAGAAGCCCUGGGAACAAACUGGCUGACACUUUUGCAUUGCUCAUCACCUCAAUGAAGAUCCAGCGGACGGCCACCCUGUAAGUCACAGACUGAGCUUUCCGUGGUCAGUGACAGAACAUCAUCUUUCUGGAGUCUUCAGUUGUUUUCAUGGUUUCUGUAUACUUUUUUGAUUGACAU
Molecule: long non-coding RNA, 407 nt
Filed under: Capra hircus (goat)
Lineage: Eukaryota; Metazoa; Chordata; Mammalia; Artiodactyla; Bovidae
Description: lncRNA (ENSCHIG00000005619.1)
Source: RNAcentral